UAUUAUUCUCUUGAUUAAUGGCAAUCUGCCGAUACUUUCAGCAAUUUCUGCCAGUGUCGUGUUAUGGCUACACAUGGAACAUUGUCGAGCUAUUUAAACAAACUUUAUAUUAUGAAAAGUAUCCAAUUUUGGCAAUAAUAAUGGUGCCUGGAACAAACACAAAAUUAAUGUUACUAUAGACUUACAUAUUAUAAUAAAAUGUAUGUACAGACUGUGCUCUUCAAAAGGGGUCGCCCUCCCGACACCACUACUAGCAUCUCGUCCCGAAUUAGGCGUGGUAACUCCAUUUUCGCCAUCAGAAUUUGUAUCCAGCCCAUACCGUGGACUUCGAAGGCCAAGUAGCUAAGCGUCACCCUUGACAGAGGGAUGAAAUUCGGUCCCCACAUCGCGAACAUCAUACACGACCGAGCCGUGUUCCUACUCGGUCGACUCUACCCCAUGACUUGCAAGUGAAGUAAAUUGUCCCUUUAUAACAAGGUGUCAGUAUAAAUCCUAUAUACGUUCUGUCAUGACCUAUAUAAGUAUAUUUUUCGCUCCGGGCCCGCACGCACAUAAACUCUCCAGGUCAUUCGAUCCCGUUUUUGCAGGAUAGCCGUCGGAGCACCAUGGUACUUGAGAAAUGUCGACCUUCACGACCACCUAAACAUAGAACUGAUACAAACGCUGCAGAACUAAGUCUACUCGCUAACUUGCAUAUGUGAGGACCCCACUGCAGCUUGGAAUCAACUGUUAUACCAAGAAAAACUGUCGAAUCCACAAGCUCCAGUGUCUCUCCACUUACAGUAAUAUUAGUGUCUACUUGUCUAACAUUAGAAUUGACAACAGCAGCAGAGCAAAUCCCAUACAUCAUACCAAAGAUAUUUAUUAAAAAACAAAUAUAAAUAUGUAUGUACACAAUUACCUACUAACAAAAUUAUAAAUAUGUAAAAUAACAGUAAUAAAUUGAGAAAAGAUAUGCUGAAGACAAACAGUUUUUGCAGAUUAUUGAAAAUAGUCACAGACAACACAUAUUGCGGGGCACAUGUCAGGAAGUUUGCAUAUUUAAGCAGGAAGAAGUGCUUGCCUCAGUGCUUGGCGAGAGCUACGUGUUUGCACACGGGUCUGCUGCUGCGACAGAAGAAACGGUUGAGGAUAAAGAUAUCAACAUUUCACUCCGGUGAGAGUACGACAAAAGGGCAAAUGAUGGACGAGAGCCAGCCCACCGACAAUCAUGCCAGUUUCGGAGGAAAUUUUGAAGUGUAUGUUGAUUUUCUUUAAUCGAUGAUAAAUUGCGUUUUGUUGCUCAUUCGAGUACGGUAAAAGUGAAAUAAAUAUAUUCACGAAGCGCUGUCUAACUACAAAUUAAUAAAUUAAAAUAAAACAUAAAUUAUACCAUACCCGCGUUGAAAUGUAUUGUAAGUAUAGUA
This is a long non-coding RNA of Bombyx mori (domestic silkworm), 1406 nucleotides long. RefSeq lists it as uncharacterized. The transcript has 3 exons. The record is from RefSeq and is a predicted model, not a curated record. Lineage: Eukaryota; Metazoa; Arthropoda; Insecta; Lepidoptera; Bombycidae.